AAACACUAAUCAAGCUUCUUCGUGCUUCUCAAAGCCUUGAUGGUCUAGCUGAAGUCCAUAUGAGUCUUUGUCUGUGUAUCUUCUAACAAGGAAACACUACUUAGGGUUUUAGGAUAAGGUUGCGGUUUAAGUUCUUAUACUCACUCAUACACAUGACAUCAAGUCAUAUUCGACUCCAAAACACUAACCAAGCUUCUUCUUGCUUCUCAAAGCUUUGAUGGAUAAGCGGAAGUCCAUAUGAGUCUUUGUCUUUGUAUCUUCUAACAAGGAAACACUACUUAGGCUCUUAGGAUAAGAUUGCGGUUUAAGUUCUUAUACUCAAUCAUACACAUGACAUCAAGUUAUAUUCGACUCCAAAACACUAACCAAGCUUCUUCUUGCUUCUCAAAGCUUUGAUGGUUUAGCCAAAGUCCAUAUGAGUCUUUAUCUUUGUAUCUUCUAACAAGGAAACACUACUUAGGCCUUUAGGAUAAGGUUGCGGUUUAAGUUCUUAUACUCAAUCAUACACAUGACAUCAAGUUAUAUUCGACUCCAAAACACUAACCAAGCUUCUUCUUGCUUCUCAAAGCUUUGAUGGUUUAGCCAAAGUCCAUAUGAGUCUUUAUCUUUGUAUCUUCUAACAAGGAAACACUACUUAGGCCUUUAGGAUAAGGUUGCGGUUUAAGUUCUUAUACUCACUCAUACACAUGACAUCAAGUCAUAUUCGACUCCAAAACACUAACCAAGCUUCUUCUUGCUUCUCAAAGCUUUGAUGGAUAAGCGGAAGUCCAUAUGAGUCUUUGUCUUUGUAUCUUCUAACAAGGAAACACUACUUAGGCUCUUAGGAUAAGAUUGCGGUUUAAGUUCUUAUACUCAAUCAUACACAUGACAUCAAGUUAUAUUCGACUCCAAAACAAUAACCAAGCUUCUUCUUGCUUCUCAAAGCUUUGAUGGUUUAGCCAAAGUCCAUAUGAGUCUUUAUCUUUGUAUCUUCUAACAAGGAAACACUACUUAGGCCUUUAGGAUAAGGUUGUGGUUUAAGUUAUUAUACUCAAUCAUACACAUGACAUCAAGUCAUAUUUGACUCCAAAACAAUAACCAAGCUUCUUCUUGCUUCUCAAAGCUUUGAUGGUUUAGCCGAAGUCCAUAUGAGUCUUUGUCUUUGUAUCUUCUAACAAGGAAACACCACUUAGGCCUUUAGGAUAUGGUUGUUGUUUAAGUUCUUAUACUCAAUCAUACACAUGACAUCAAGUCAUAUUCGACUCCAAAACACUAAUCAAGCUUCUUCGUGCUUCUCAAAGCUUUGAUGGUCUAGCCGAAGUCCAUAUGAGUCUUUGUCUUUGUAUCUUCUAACAAGGAAACACUACUUAGGGUUUUAGGAUAAGGUUGCGGUUUAAGUUCUUAUACUCACUCAUACACAUGACAUCAAGUCAUAUUCGACUCCAAAACACUAACCAAGCUUCUUCCUGCUUCUCAAAGCUUUGAUGGAUAAGCGGAAGUCCAUAUGAGUCUUUGUCUUUGUAUCUUCUAACAAGGAAACACUACUUAGGCUCUUAGGUUAAGAUUGCGGUUUAAGUUCUUAUACUCAAUCAUACACAUGACAUCAAGUUAUAUUCGACUCCAAAACACUAACCAAGCUUCUUCUUGCUUCUCAAAGCUUUGAUGGUUUAGCCAAAGUCCAUAUGAGUCGUUGUGUUUGUAUCUUCUAACAAGGAAACACUACUUAGGCUUUCAGGAUAAGAUUGUUGUUUAAGUUCUUAUACGCAAUCAUACACAUGACAUAAAGUCAUAUUCGACUCCAAAACACUAAUCAAGCUUCUUCUUGCUUCUCAAAGCUUUGUUAGUUUAGCCGAAGUCCAUAUGAGUAUUUAUCUUUGUAUCUUCUAACAAGGAAACACCACUUAGGCCUUUAGGAUAAGGUUGCGGUUUAAGUUCUUAUACUCCAUCAUACACAUGACAUCAAGUCAUAUUCGACUCCAAAACACUAACCAAGCUUCUUCUUGCUUCUCAAAGCUUUGUUGGUUUAGCCGAAGUCCAUAUGAGUCUUUAUCUUUGUAUCUUCUAACAAGGAAACACUACUUAGGCUUUUAGGAUAAGGUUGCGGUUUAAGUUCUUAUACUCACUCAUACACAUGACAUCAAGUCAUAUUCGACUCCAAAACACUAACCAAGCUUCUUCUUGCUUCUCAAAGCUUUGAUGGAUAAGCGGAAGUCCAUAUGAGUCUUUGUCUUUGUAUCUUCUAACAAGGAAACACUACUUAGGCUCUUAGGAUAAGAUUGCGGUUUAAGUUCUUAUACUCAAUCAUACACAUGACAUCAAGUUAUAUUCGACUCCAAAACACUAACCAAGCUUCUUCUUGCUUCUCUAAGCUUUGAUGGUUUAGCCAAAGUCCAUAUGAGUCUUUAUCUUUGUAUCUUCUAACAAGGAAACACUACUUAGGCCUUUAGGAUAAGGUUGCGGUUUAAGUUCUUAUACUCAAUCAUACACAUGACAUCAAUUUAUAUUCGACUCCAAAACACAAACCAAGCUUCUUCUUGCUUCUCAAAGCUUUAAUGGUUUAGCCGAAGUCCAUGUGAGUCUUUGUGUUUGUAUCUUCUAACAAGGAAACACUACUUAGGCUUUUAGGAUAAGAUUGCGGUUUAAGUUCAUAUACUCAAUCAUACACAUGACAUCAAGUCAUAUUCGACUCCAAAACACUAACCAAACUUUUUCUUGCUUUUCAAAGCUUUGAUGGUUUAGCAAAAUUCCAUAUGAGUCUUUAUCUUUGUAUCUUCUAACAAGGAAACACUACUUAGGCUUUUAGGAUAAGGUUGCGGGUUAAGUUCUUAUACUCAAUCAUACACAUGAUAUCAAGUCAUAUUCGACUCCAAAACACUAACCAAGCUUCUUCUUGCUUCUUAAAAGCUUUGAAGUCCAUAUGAGUCUUUGUCCAUAUGAAGUCC
Molecule: small RNA, 2921 nt
Filed under: Arabidopsis thaliana (thale cress)
Lineage: Eukaryota; Viridiplantae; Streptophyta; Magnoliopsida; Brassicales; Brassicaceae
Description: ATSL204370
Source: RNAcentral